CGUAGGCGGGUCUUUAAGUCAGGGGUGAAAUCCUGGAGCUCAACUCCAGAACUGCCUUUGAUACUGGCGAGCUUCGAGUUCGGGAGAGGUGAGUGGAACUGCGAGUGUAGAGGUGAAAUUCGUAGAUAUUCGCAAGAACACCAGUGGCGAAGGCGGCUCACUGGCCCGGUACUGACGCUGAUGUGCGAAAGCGUGGGGAGCAAACAGGAUUAGAUACCCUGGUA
RNAcentral lists this ribosomal RNA (224 nucleotides) under uncultured Alphaproteobacteria bacterium. Its description in RNAcentral is "partial 16S ribosomal RNA". It matches the Rfam family "Bacterial small subunit ribosomal RNA", at positions 570 to 792 of the family's 1533-position model. The record is from RNAcentral. Lineage: Bacteria; Pseudomonadati; Pseudomonadota; Alphaproteobacteria.